This 248-nucleotide long non-coding RNA is filed under the name Salvator merianae (Argentine black and white tegu). Its description in RNAcentral is "lncRNA (ENSSMRG00000007452.1)". Lineage: Eukaryota; Metazoa; Chordata; Lepidosauria; Squamata; Teiidae. The record is from RNAcentral.
CGCUGAAUGAACAGCGCUUGGUUCGCAAAAGUCAGUCACAAGUGAGCGCAGGGGGGCGGGGUGUCAGGACGAGAGUUGCUGGCGAGACGCCGGGCGAAGCCAGCCAGCUCCAGAGAGCGACUCGGCCGACGCUGGCACACCUUCGCGCCGCUGCUGGGAUCCAGACAUCAAGCGAUAAUCAGAUGGAGUGAUAGUCAUCCAAAAAGGUAAUUUUUAUUUGGAAACAAACCUAAUGAUAAAACAAUGUA